AUUAGUUAAGAUCUUUAAACCCAAAGAAUUUGGCGGUAUCUUAAUCUGUUCAGAGGAACCUACCCCGUUAUUGAUAGUACACGAUUAACUUUACUUAAUUUAUUUGUUUGUAUAUCUCCGUUAUCAGAAAAUCUUUUUAGAGUUAUAAUUUUCUUAAUCUAUGAUUAUAAAAUAUUUCAGGUCAAGGUGCAGCUUAUGAUUAAGGGGAGGUGGGUUACAAUAAAUUUUUGUUUAUAUGGAUUUUAUAAUGAAACAUUAUUAAUGAAGGUGGAUUUGAUGGUAAAUUAAUUUAUUUAAUUUAAUUGAUAUUAGCUCUGAGGUGUGUACACAU
Molecule: ribosomal RNA, 331 nt
Filed under: Oxya hyla
Lineage: Eukaryota; Metazoa; Arthropoda; Insecta; Orthoptera; Acrididae
Description: partial 12S ribosomal RNA
Source: RNAcentral